Molecule: long non-coding RNA, 170 nt
Organism: Mauremys mutica (yellowpond turtle)
Lineage: Eukaryota; Metazoa; Chordata; Testudines; Geoemydidae
Exons: 3
Source: RefSeq, a predicted model, not a curated record
CUCUGGGAGGCGGCCACAAAGUCUUGUGUCAAAGGCUGACUUUCAAUAGAUCGCAGCGAGGGAGCUGCUCUGCUACGCACGAAACCCUGACCCAGAAUCAGGUCGUCUACGAAUGAUUUAGCACUGGGUUCCCCACGAACAUGCGGUGCGCAACGGGUGAGAGGCGGCCC